RNAcentral lists this ribosomal RNA (459 nucleotides) under uncultured bacterium. RNAcentral describes it as "partial 16S ribosomal RNA". It matches the Rfam family "Bacterial small subunit ribosomal RNA", at positions 339 to 795 of the family's 1533-position model. The record is from RNAcentral.
CUACGGGGUGCAGCAGUGAGGAAUAUUGGACAAUGGGCGAGAGCCUGAUCCAGCCAUGCCGCGUGCAGGAAGACUGCCCUAUGGGUUGUAAACUGCUUUUAUACGGGAAGAAACACUCCUACGUGUAGGGGCUUGACGGUACCGUAAGAAUAAGCAUCGGCUAACUUCGUGCCAGCAGCCGCGGUAAUACGGAGGAUGCAAGCGUUAUCCGGAAUCAUUGGGUUUAAAGGGUCCGUAGGCGGGCUGUUAAGUCAGGGGUGAAAGUUUGCGGCUCAACCGUAAAAUUGCCUCUGAUACUGAUAGUCUUGAAUCAGUGUGAAGUGGUUAGAAUGAGUAGUGUAGCGAUGAAAUGCAUAGAUAUUACUCAGAAUACCGAUUGCGAAGGCAGAUCACUAACACUGUAUUGACGCUGAGGGACGAAAGCGUGGGGAGCGAACAGGAUUAGAUACCCCCGUAGUC